GUCUUAUUGAAAAUAAUUUUAAGUCUAAUCUGCCCAAUGAAAAUUUUAAUGGCUGCAGUAUCAAUAACUGUACAAAGGUAGCAUAAUAAUUAGUUUUUUAAUUAAAAACUAGAAUGAAAGAUUAAAUGAAAUAUAAACUUUAUAAAUAAAAUAAAAAUUAAAAUUAAAUUUUAAGUUAAAAUUCUUAAAUAUAAUUAAAAGACGAGAAGACCCUUUAGAAUUUUAUAUUAAUUUAAAUUAAAAUUAAAAUAUUAUUUAUAUAAAUUUAAACUAAUAUUUAAUUGGGGUAAUUUUUUAAUUUCAUAAACUUUAAAAUAAUUAAACAUUAAUUUAUGAAUUUAUAAACCUAAAAUUUAGAAUUUUAAAAUAAAUUACCUUAGGGAUAACAGCGUAAUUUUUUUUGAAAGUUCACAUUUAUAAAAAAGAUUGCGACCUCGAUGUUGAAUUAAGAUUAAAUUAAAAGCAAAAAUUUAAUAAUUUAAGUCU
RNAcentral lists this ribosomal RNA (486 nucleotides) under Lysiphlebus testaceipes. Its description in RNAcentral is "partial 16S ribosomal RNA". Lineage: Eukaryota; Metazoa; Arthropoda; Insecta; Hymenoptera; Braconidae. The record is from RNAcentral.